RNAcentral lists this ribosomal RNA (499 nucleotides) under uncultured Glomeromycotina. Its description in RNAcentral is "partial small subunit ribosomal RNA". It matches the Rfam family "Eukaryotic small subunit ribosomal RNA", at positions 591 to 1092 of the family's 1831-position model. Lineage: Eukaryota; Fungi; Glomeromycota. The record is from RNAcentral.
CCAAUAGCGUAUAUUAAAGUUGUUGCAGUUAAAAAGCUCGUAGUUGAAUUUCGAGAUCAAUUUGUGGGUCGUGCCUCGGUACGUACUGGCAUUAUUGAUUUCUCCCUUCUGAAGAACCGCGAUGUCAUUAAUUUGGUGUCGUGGGGAAUCAGGACUGUUACUUUGAAAAAAUUAGAGUGUUUAAAGCAAGCUUACGCCUGAAUACAUUAGCAUGGAAUAAUGAAAUAGGACGUUUGAUUCUAUUUUGUUGGUUUCUAGGAUCGACGUAAUGAUUAAUAGGGAUAGUUGGGGGCAUUAGUAUUCAAUUGUCAGAGGUGAAAUUCUUGGAUUUAUUGAAGACUAACUACUGCGAAAGCAUUUGCCAAGGAUGUUUUCAUUAAUCAAGAACGAAAGUUAGGGGAUCGAAGACGAUCAGAUACCGUCGUAGUCUUAACCAUAAACUAUGCCGACUAGGGAUCGGAUGAUGUUAAUUUUUUAAUGACUCAUUCGGCGCCUUACG